AAAUCUUCAACAAAACCCUAGCACAACCCUAGCAUUUUGAUCUGCAUUUUUACCGGAUUGUCUUUGUUUGGGCUCCAAACUGCAAGCAUUUUAAAAAAAGCAAAAUGAUAAUCUUACCCUUCUAGAAACACUCAAGCUUCCCAAUUAUUAUUUUGGUUCUGAUGGUUGUGUUCUUUGGGUUUUCAGGUUGCGAAUCUGAUGCGAUUAGAAGGGAUUAUGUUUGGAUUGAGCAUGUUGAUGAUGGUUGGGGUCCUGCAGUGUAUUCACAGAGGAAAUCUUCAACCAAUCAAAGUAUGUAUAGUUACAAUCAUAUCUUUGCAGUUUUGAUUACUGAUUAUUUU
Molecule: long non-coding RNA, 341 nt
Filed under: Medicago truncatula (barrel medic)
Lineage: Eukaryota; Viridiplantae; Streptophyta; Magnoliopsida; Fabales; Fabaceae
Description: long non-coding RNA (MTRU_LNC003831)
Source: RNAcentral